RNAcentral lists this ribosomal RNA (407 nucleotides) under uncultured bacterium. RNAcentral describes it as "bacterial SSU rRNA". It matches the Rfam family "Bacterial small subunit ribosomal RNA", at positions 355 to 776 of the family's 1533-position model. The record is from RNAcentral.
UUAGGAAUCUUGCGCAAUGGGCGAAAGCCUGACGCAGCGACGUCGCGUGACUGAUGAAGUCUUUCGGGAUGUAAAGGUCUUUUUUGGGGGAAGAAGGAUGUGACGGUACCCCAAGAAUAAGCCCCGGCUAACUACGUGCCAGCAGCCGCGGUAAUACGGAGGGGGCGAGCGUUGUCCGAAUUCACUGGGCGUAAAGCGCGCGUAGGCGGACCUUUAAGUCAGGGGUGAAAUGCCGAGGCUCAACCUCGGAACUGCCUUUGAAACUGGGGGUCUUGAGGUAUGGAGAGGGAAGUGGAAUUCCUGGUGUAGCGGUGAAAUGCGUAGAUAUCAGGAGGAACACCUGUGGCGAAGGCGGCUUCCUGGCCAUAUCCUGACGCUGAGGUGCGAAAGCCAGGGGAGCGAACGGG